RNAcentral lists this small RNA (725 nucleotides) under Pongo abelii (Sumatran orangutan). RNAcentral's name for it is "retained intron". Lineage: Eukaryota; Metazoa; Chordata; Mammalia; Primates; Hominidae. The record is from RNAcentral.
CCACUGCUUCUAAAUCAAUAAAACAGUGGAUGACUGUUAGGAAAAACAAAGCUACGCUUCUUUAAUAUCUACUGAUCUAUCUGUGCUAAAUCUGCUGCACAGAUACUAACCAGUGUUGAAAAUGUACUAAUUGUAUACCUGACAUCUUAACAGAUAUUAAACUAAGUUCUAGUUGAGCCCAACUGCAGAUCAGAGAAAAGAAACUCUAUGCUUACAAUCAAUCAUCUUAAAUGCAAUUAGUUUUCUCUGGUCUUUCUUUUCAAAGAAAGGGACUAAGGCUCCUCAGGCUGCAGGAAAGAUUCACACAGAUUUUGAAAAGGGAUUCAUUAUGGCUGAAGUAAUGAAAUAUGAAGAUUUUAAAGAGGAAGGUUCUGAAAAUGCAGUCAAGGCUGCUGGAAAGUACAGACAACAAGGCAGAAAUUAUAUUGUUGAAGAUGGAGAUAUUAUCUUCUUCAAAUUUAACACACCUCAACAACCAAAGAAGAAAUAAAAUUUAGUUAUUGCUCAGAUAAACAUACAACUUCCAAAAGGCAUCUGAUUUUUUAAAAAUUAAAAUUUCUGAAAACCAAUGCAACAAAUAAAGUUGGGGAGAUGGGAAUCUUUGACAAACAAAUUAUUUUUAUUUGUUUUAAAAUUAAAAUACUGUGUACCCACCCCCUCCAUGAAAUGCAAGUUCACUAAAUGUGAACAGCUUUGCUUUUCACGUGAUUAAGACCCUACUCCAA